RNAcentral lists this ribosomal RNA (400 nucleotides) under uncultured bacterium. Its description in RNAcentral is "bacterial SSU rRNA". It matches the Rfam family "Bacterial small subunit ribosomal RNA", at positions 357 to 774 of the family's 1533-position model. The record is from RNAcentral.
GGGAAUUUUGGGCAAUGGGCGAAAGCCUGACCCAGCAACGCCGCGUGAGGGAUGAAGUAUUUCGGUAUGUAAACCUCGAAAGAAUGGGAAGAAUAAAUGACGGUGCCAUUUAUAAGCUCCGGCUAACUACGUGCCAGCAGCCGCGGUAAUACGUAGGGAGCAAGCGUUGUUCGGAUUUACUGGGCGUAAAGGGCGCGUAGGCGGCGCGGUAAGUCACUUGUGAAAUCUCUGAGCUUAACUCAGAACGGCCAAGUGAUACUGCUGUGCUAGAGUGCGGAAGAGGCAACCGGAAUUCUUGGUGUAGCGGUGAAAUGCGUAGAUAUCAAGAGGAACACCUGAGGCGAAGGCGGGUUGCUGGGCCGACACUGACGCUGAUGCGCGAAAGCCAGGGGAGCAAACG